UUAAAAUGUAAAUUUAAAAACUUAGGUAGUAAUAGUUAUAUUCUUGAAACUUAAAAAAUUUGGCGGUAUUUUAGUCUAUUCAGAGGAACCUGUUUUAUAAUCGAUAAUCCACGAUGGACCUUACUUAAGCUUGUAAUCAGCUUAUAUACCGUCGUUAUUAGAAUAUUUUAUGAGAAAGUUAAUUUUCAAAAUUUUAUAUAAGAAAAUAUAUCAGAUCAAGGUGUAGCUUAUGUUUAAGUAAAAAUGGGUUACAAUAAAAUUAUUUAUAUGAAUAUAAAUUUGAAAUGUUUAUUGAAGGUGGAUUUGAUAGUAAAAUUAUAAAGAUAAAUAAUUUGAUUUUAGCUCUAAAAUAUGU
Molecule: ribosomal RNA, 355 nt
Filed under: Tachina grossa
Lineage: Eukaryota; Metazoa; Arthropoda; Insecta; Diptera; Tachinidae
Description: partial 12S ribosomal RNA
Source: RNAcentral